This 492-nucleotide ribosomal RNA is filed under the name uncultured bacterium. RNAcentral describes it as "partial 16S ribosomal RNA". It matches the Rfam family "Bacterial small subunit ribosomal RNA", at positions 29 to 507 of the family's 1533-position model. The record is from RNAcentral.
AGUGAACGCUGGCGGUAGGCCUAACACAUGCAAGUCGAACGGCAGCACAGUAAGAGCUUGCUCUUACGGGUGGCGAGUGGCGGACGGGUGAGGAAUACAUCGGAAUCUACUUUUUCGUGGGGGAUAACGUAGGGAAACUUACGCUAAUACCGCAUACGACCUACGGGUGAAAGCAGGGGAUCUUCGGACCUUGCGCGAUUGAAUGAGCCGAUGUCGGAUUAGCUAGUUGGCGGGGUAAAGGCCCACCAAGGCGACGAUCCGUAGCUGGUCUGAGAGGAUGAUCGGCCACACUGGAACUGAGACACGGUCCAGACUCCUACGGGACGCAGCAGUGGGGAAUAUUGGACAAUGGGCGCAAGCAUGGUCCAGCCAUACCGCGUCGGUGAAGAAGGCCUUCCGGUUGUAAAGACCUUUUGUUGGGAAAGAAAAGCAGCAGGUUAAUACCACGCUGUUCUGACGGUACCCAAAGAAUAAGCACCGGCUAACUUCGUG